This is a long non-coding RNA of Gallus gallus (chicken), 1492 nucleotides long. Lineage: Eukaryota; Metazoa; Chordata; Aves; Galliformes; Phasianidae. The record is from Ensembl.
UCAACAAGACCAAGUGCCUCUGAAACCAUUCCUAGACUUGCACUUUAGUCGUAUUUACUGCUCUUGCUAGCCACAGCCCAGGAAAUAUGACUGGAAGUCCCUGAAGUCUUUGGAAGCUUUCUUACUGACUCCUAUUGAUUUCAGAUCAUACAUUUAUAGGCAUAUUGAUACCAUCUUAAUUCUAUCACCCCUUAUAUGCGUGUGUUCAUUUGUAUUACAGAAAGAGAUGUUUAUCUGCUGGCUUUUACUCUGUAGUUUUCUACUGUCUUAUGCUAAAAAAUGAUUACUUAAGUCCAUUCAGGAGAAAUGAUGUUAAAACACUAAAAGGAUGUUUCCUUUAUAGAUGGUAGAGUUUGAAUGUUGUCAUUUAAUCUAUAAUGAUUAACUUCUUUACCACUGUUUUAGCAAUACAGUUGUGAAAGAACAGAUUCUUAUCUCUGUAAAUAAAUACAGACAUUCUGUAUUUACUGAAACAGGAAUUAAAAUCAGACUUGAUACAGAUUGCCUUGUCUCACGCUGUAUAAAAGAAAGACUAGAGUCGUUCUCUUAAGCAUAACUAACGCUAUUAUCUGAGUUAAGACAGAAAUUAACCUUUAUCUGUUUUUGUUUAGGUCAUUUAAAUGGUGUAUUGUAAGCCAAUUAAAUUAAAAUAAAGCAAAGCUUGAAUUAAUUCAAGAUAAUUUAUUAUGGUUUCAGAGUAGUAACUAUUGUGCUUCCCAUGUAAUGAAAGAUGGACACUUCUGCUAACACACAUGCUGGAAGAAGUUCAAGUGAGCUCACCUACAGGGUUCUCUGUUCAUGAAAAAUAUUUUUUUUGUAACUGCAAGCAAGCGUCAACUGCAUCUAUACACAGGUACUAAGAAGUCAAGGAAUGAAUGUUCAUAUUGAUAGGACACCGGGAAAUAUCCUUUACUAGUUCUGAGUAACAAAACAUUAACAUUAUUGCUAGUGUUCUAAUUAACACCAGUAGAAAAGCACAGCAGGAAUUUAUUAAAAAUGGAUUUAUCAGCACAUCCAAAUUCAUGAUAUUUAACUUUAAGGCAAAAGCAACCACGGCACUUUGAGUAACAGUUUUAAGUGGAUGAUUAGCUAAGGGGAUUCAAGACUUAAUAGCCAAAAUAAAUUACUAUAAUUAUUUUAUUACCUAUGCUAACUGAUUUCAUUGUUUUUAUUGAAAUAACAGCUCCCUAAAGAAUAGAAUGUUGCUUCAAAGAAUCCCAGCUGCAAGCUCUGUGUUCUCUUGUGGCAAUCAAAAACAACAACAAAAAUAGCUGUCAUUAAUAAUACUCUUUAAUAACUAUGCUACAGCAUAUUAGAAACACAUUCCACAUUUUUUCUGUACACCUGGACUUGAAUAUGAAAUUUUCUAGCCACUGGAGGGUCUUCUGUGGAAUUAAAAUAAAUCUAUAAAGCACUUAUUAAAAUAAACAUGAAUAUUUAUGGCGAACAACGGAAUGCUUUAAAUAGAUCUUUAAUAAAUAAGUCUGUGAUU